This is an RNA transcript of Nymphaea colorata (pocket water lily), 3620 nucleotides long. It is a transcript of the gene named pentatricopeptide repeat-containing protein At1g63330-like, with no coding region annotated. The transcript has 3 exons. NCBI's taxonomy places the organism in Eukaryota, Viridiplantae, Streptophyta, Magnoliopsida, Nymphaeales, Nymphaeaceae. The record is from RefSeq and is a predicted model, not a curated record.
GCCUACGAAAGUAGAAAAUUUACAAGGACAACAAGAGCUUGACCCUUACCCCUCCUUGCAGUUUCGCCUCUCAAAUUUAAAUUUGACUCUCUCUCUCUCUCUCUCUCUCUCUCUCUCUGUGUGUGUGCGUGUCUGUGUGUGUUGCUGCCGGAGAACACAUCUUCCCCUUCGAAUGCUCGAUGGCCACAACAAAAUAGGUGAAGUGCGAUGCUUUCUACCUGCAGUUUCGGUGCAUGGCAAAGAGAAGAACGCAACAAAAGUUCUUGUUGCCGAUUCGAGAAAAGCAGGGGGCAUAACCGGACAUAUCCCCUUGCGUGAUGAGGGGCAGAGGGCCCCAGUGUUGAAGGACGGCAUCCAGAGGGAUGAUGAAGAGGGCUCUCAGAGUUCUGUUCAUCCAGUGGAUUCUUGGGUACUUUGCACUUUUGUUAUUUAGCUGUUGCUAAUGUGUGAAAAAGGGAAGAUACUGCUGCCUGCUAUUUUUGCUGUUUAUCAGCCAUUAUGAAUUCUAUGAGAAGCAUAUGUCUUUGUUCGUGAUGCCCAUGUGUGAGAUCUUCAGCAAAUGGUGAGAUCCACUUCUGUUUUCACAUCUGCAUCGUCAUUGGUUCUGUCAUCUUUGAGGCACCACCACUUUACUGCACGUUCACUCUUAGCUUCAUUAGGAUUGAAACUUGGCAGCAGAGAGAACAAUGGUGUCAUCCAGAAGAAACAUUUUCCUGCCCAUCCUUUCGUUACGCAGUCAGAAUCUGCUCAUUUUGUUUGUUUAAACGAAAUCCAUAAUCUCGAAUGUGGGGUUCUGAAAACAAUAGACAAUAAUUCUAGCCAUGAUGAGAUCGAGAAGGCAUUGGCCACCUUUGAUGAUAUGCGAUUUUGUCGUGUCCAUAAGCCAUCAGUGAUUUCGUGCACUCGUUUGCUGAAUGUUCUUGUGAGAAGGGGCAGGUAUGAAGAUGGGUUCUCGGUCUACUUCAAGAUGGUCAACUCUGGGAUAUCUCCUACUUUAGUUACUUUCAAUACCUUGCUCAAUUGCUUCUGUAAAGCUUGCCAGAUUGAAUCUGCAUUUGCAGUGCUCGGUGUUAUUCUGAAAACUGGGUUCUCACCCUGCUCUAUCACUUUUAACACGCUGAUUGAUGCUCUGAUGAAGUCAGGCAGGAUGGAUGAAGCUUUAUGGUUGCAGGCUUCCAUGUGUGCGGAGGGUUGUGAUCCUAAUGUGUCUACUUACAAUUGUCUCAUUGAUGGUGCUUGUAAAAUGGGUAGGCUUGCAGAUGCAAGAUCUCUGUUGCGAGAGAUGGCUGCCAGAAAUAUUGUUGCUGAUUUGAUUACCUACAACACAGUUAUUGAUGGUCUUUGUAAGGAAGGGCUUGUGGAGGAGGCAUAUGAACUCUACAACAAGAUUACCGUAAAAGGAGUUUGCCCCAAUGUUGUAACUUUCAACAGUUUGAUUCACGGUCUCUGCAUUGAUGGGCAGUGGCAACAUGCAAAAGCAUUGUUUCAUAAUAUGCUAAAUUCAGGAAUCAGACCAGAUCUAGUAACAUACAGUGCACUGGUUCAUGGUUUUAGUGAACAUGGAAUGAUGAACGAAGCCAUUCAAUUUGUCAAUUUGAUGCUUAAAAUGGGUGAGCCUCCUGAAAGACGUACAUUUGCACCAGUUAUAGGAAAUCUAGCAAAAACAGGUAGAAUCGAUGAGGCAAUGCAGUUCAUCAGCCAUCUUCUGAAGAGAGGUAUUCCAUUAGAUGUCAUGGCAUACGGCAUUCUUAUAGAUGGCUUAUUUAAGACCGAGAGAAUUGGUGAAGCCAUAGCAUUGUAUCAUUAUAUGCUAACUGAAGGUUACCAGCCUGAUGUGUUUACCUAUACUUGUCUUAUUGCUGGAUUUUGCAAAGCAGGCCAGCUUGAGCAGGCCAAUGCUUUGUUGCAUGAAAUGAGCAUGGUGGGGAUUAAACCUGAUUUAGUUACUUACAGCACAAUCCUUGAUACCCUUUGCAAGGAAGGUUUUCUUGAUAGAGCCAUGGAAGUGUAUGAGGAGAUGAAUGACAAAGGUAUUUUUCCAAACACAAUUAUAUUCAAUAUCUUGAUCAACAGAUUCUGCAUAGAAGAUAGAUGGCAAGAAGCAAAAGACAUGCUCAAUAACAUGUGGAACCUGGGAAUUAGACCUGACAUUGUUACAUUUACUAGCAUCAUUCAUGGGUGUUGUAAGAGAGGAAGAGUAAAUGAUGCUCUCGAUGUAAUGAGUUUUAUGUUUGAGGUGGGUGAAUUGCCUAAUGUGUCUACUUGCAACAUUGUCAUGGAUGGUCUUUCCAAAGAAGGGAGAAUGAAUGAAGCGAUGCAGUUAGUCACUUACCUUCUCAAGAGUGGAAACUGCCUAGAUUUUCUGACUUAUGGUAUCCUCAUAAGUGGUUUAUGCAAGUCUAAUAGGGUGGAUGAAGCAGCUUCCAUCUAUAACUACAUGCUCUGCAUUGGUUGUGAGCCUGAUGUGGUAAUAUAUACUUGCCUUAUUGAUGGGCUUUGUAAGACAGGCAAUAUUAAUGAUGCUAAGGUUUUGGUGAAUGAAAUGAUACUAAGGGAAACCAAGAUUGAUAUAGUUACAUGCAACGUAUUUAUUGAUGGUCUAUGUAAAGAAGGCCUUCUGGAUGAAGCUUGGAAGAUUUAUGAAGAGAUGCUGGGGAAAGGUAUUUGUCCUAAUGUCUUUACUUUUAACAUUUUCAUUCACAAUUUCUGCCGUCAUGGGCGACAUGAAGAUGCAAAGGCAUUAAUCAGUGAGAUGUUGGACCGAGGAAUAAAACCAAACACAGCCACUAUUAGUGGGUUGGCUAGUGGACUUCACAAAAGUGCGGCGAUCGAUCAUACCAUUAAUUAUCUCUGUGGCGUAGCUGGUAUGUAGAGUGCGUGUUUUAUUAUAAAAUGCACAUUUGUUAUAGAAAAUAGUGUAUGUAUAGUUGUUGCCUCAUUGUCUGGAAGAGUUCUUUAUGGGCAAUUCUCAUUGAAGUUUCUUCGAUCAAGGAAUUUGAGAUAUCUCCAGCAUGGAAAGAAAACAGAAAGAACCUGUGAAGGCUAACCAGUUGGGUUCAGCGACAUCGCAAUUAUUUCAUCCAACUCAUUUCAGGAGCCAUACUGCAGAAACGUGUCGAGAGGCACACCUACGUGCAUUUGAAUGUUAAAGUACGGUCAAUUAGAUUUAUCUGCUGGUAAGAUCUGCUGCGUGCGACCUAAUUAUGUAUUGCACAAAUUUCAAGAUCCAGCCAACCUUGGAGUUGACCUGGGGCACGUCGCAAAUCCAAGACAGGUUUGGCAACAAUGGCAGGUUGUGAAGGGCUAAUAGAGUUGGUGCAAAAUUAUUAGAUUGAAUUCAAAAAUAAGUUGGCUCAUACCUAUGCUGGAUGGAUGGCAUGAAUGGUUUUCAAGUCUCGUACCGAUGUCUUUUUGAGAAUGGUGCUCCUUAAUGUAGAAUAAGAAAAUCAUGGAUGGCUCUCUCUACCUAUCUUGCCACGAAGGAUUCUAUUAUUCCUAUACAGGUUAAUAUAUAUAUAUAUAUAUAUAUAUAUAAUGGUUUAAUUUCGGAGAAGUGAUUAAUUUGCCUUUGAUUGUAUGAAGGACAACUACAUUAGAGAUUCCAUAAGUUUUAAAAAUCA